Bos taurus (domestic cattle) is the source of this 1209-nucleotide long non-coding RNA. NCBI's taxonomy places the organism in Eukaryota, Metazoa, Chordata, Mammalia, Artiodactyla, Bovidae. The record is from Ensembl.
GUCUGAGAGAGUAGAAGUUAAUAGGACAGAAGGGUGGGAUUCGUUCCAGGCAGAGAAAACAGCAGGUGCAAAGGGCCUGUGAUUACCUUGGCCAGUGCAUUUGAAACAGAGAGAAUAAGGAGGAGGAUGGGACCAGAGAGGGAGGAAGGACCGGACCUCACAGGACUUUAUGGGCCAUGCUAAUAAGAGUUUGGUCUUUAUUGCAAGAGCCACUGGAAGCUGUUGAGAGAUUUCAGCAGGGCCAGACCAAGCAGGACCAGAGGAGGCAACAAAUGCCCUUCCCUCGUCCUCCCUCCCUCCCAGCCACUGCUCCAGAGCUUCGGCCCUCUUAUAAGCGCCCAACUCUUCGUCCGCUUUCUUCACCAGCUCCACGCACAGCUGUGCGGAUGAGGCUCUCAGAGGAGCAGUCCCUCCACCCCGCAGCCUGGGCCCGGCUACUGCAUGAACGGGCAUCUGGCUCCCCCUCGUGGUGACAUCAGCACAUUGGCGCGCUAGGUCAGCUCGGAGCUGCCGGGGCCAGAGGCAGGGCUAUGGCCGGCGUCCUGGUCGAGAGGUCAGGAAGUGUGUGUCCAGUCCUGGCCAGUGACUCACUCUACAACUGUGCGCUGUUCCCCUGACCUGUAUGUGCUCCGAUUUCCUUGCCUGCAAAUUAGGGUUAGUGAUCUGGGUGAGGCUUUCCUUGGCUAACACAUAGAGUUUUUAAAAGAGUUUUGUUAGUUUGAAGAACCCCUCUCCCUAACUUGAGGUGCCUUGACAUCCAGUGGCCGCUCAACAACACUCCUGUGUGCUACCAACCCCUUCCGUAAACCACUCCAUUUCGGGACAGCCACAUUAGACAUACUGCCAUUGGACUUCCCUGGUGCCUCAGACAAUAAAGCGUCUGCCUACAACGUGUGAGACCUGGGUUCAAUCCCUGGGUGGGGAUCUCCUGGAGAAGGAAAUGGCAACCCCACUCCAGUACUCUUGCCUGGAAAAUCCCAUGGAUGGAGGAACCUGGUAGGCUGCAGUCCAUGGGGUCACAAAGAGUCAGACAUGACAGAGCAACUUCACUUUCACGUAGCCAGAAUAUGGUGAUGCAUGGGGCCAGGUUGGUACUGUCAGGGCACUCCGUUGGAAGGAUCAGGCACGGAAUGGAUGGAAAUACAAAGGAGAAAUAUUUGAUCCAGAUCUCAGGGCCGGCUACUUGGGGCUUGAGAAUCUCCUUUAAAA